ACAGAGGAACAGACGGAGGUCAGUGAGGUCCACAGGGCAACAUGCGUCUCAGCUACUCGGCAGGUCGUCCUUAUCUGCUGCUCAGUGUGCCCUUCACUUCAGUCUUGAAGACUCACUCACACCAGUGGGAACUCCCGGUACUGUGCCCAGUGCAGCUGGGGCGGACACUCCUGUUGUGUCCUGGGUGCCGGCCUCUGGAAGCCAGCUCGCCACCGUUGGGUAUAAAGACAGCUGUGGAUGCGGCUCCUUUUGGGGAGGAUCUGUAUCCCUAAAAUAUUUUAAGGAAGGCCACAUUUAUUUCUUUUCUUUCUUUCAUUUUUUUUUUGAGAGAGAGAGAGAGAGAGAGAGGGAAUUUUAAUAUUUAUUUUUUAGUUUUCGGUGGACACAACAUCUUUGUUUGUAUGUGGUGCUGAGGAUCGAACCCGGGCCUCACACAUGCCAGGCGAGCGUGCUACCGCUUGAGCCACAUCCCCAGCCCCACAUUUAUUUCUAAUUGUGUUUUUGUCGUGAUCAAGUGUUUCAACUUUAUCAAAUGCUUUUCCUGACUGUGUUGAUAGGGUUGUUUCAUUUUUCACUGUGGACAAGGUAGACCUAUGUUGAUAAAUUAAAAAAUAUUUAACAAGCCUGAAUUCUUGGAGUGAAUCCUACAGAGUCAUGGUGUUUGAUUCCUUUUACAUAUUGAUGAAUUCUAUUUGCAAAAGUUUUGUUAAGGACUUUUGCAUUUAUAUUUGUGAUUAAUAUUGGUUUGUAGUGCUUUUAAUACUGCAUUUGUCUGGGUUUGGUGUUGGGGUAAUGCUAGCUUCAUAAGUAGAAGUGUUCCUUUCUAUUUUCUGGAUGAACUUUAUGUAAAAUUCCUAUGAAAACUUCCUUUAAUAAGUUUUCUCUCCAGUGAACCAUCUGGGCUUGGAGAUUUCUUUCUUUCAGGGGAGAAAGGGAGCUUUUAAAUUAUGCAUUCAGUUUCCUAAGCAGUUGCUCUGUGUUAUCUGAGUUGCUAAAUGUCUAUAGGGGUUGUUGGUUUUAAUCUUUGGGCCUUUUAAUGUCAAUGCAAUUUGUAGUGAUGACCCUUAUUUUCUUCUGGAUCCUAGAGAUUUGUGUCUUAUAUAUUUUUUUCCUUAUCAGAAUUUCUAGAAGUUUGUCAGUUUUACUGAUAUUUUAGAGAAUCUUCCCUUUGUUUCAUUAAUUUUCUCUUUCGCUUUUUUGUUUUAAUUUCAUUUAUUUGUUUUGUGUAUAUUUUGCUCUUUUUCUCCCAGGCUCUUGAGAUAGAAGCUUAGAUUGAUUUGAGAUUUUUCUUUCUUCUAUCGAUGCAUUUAUUGCUACCAUUUUCCCUCAGUAAACUGCUUUGACUUCAUCUCCCAGCUGUUGAUAUGUUGUAUUUCCAUUUUCAUUCAGUUGGAUGUAUUUUUCAAAAAUCCCUUGUGACUUCCUCUUUGACUUAUUAGAAGUGUGUUCUUUAGUUUCCAAGCAUUUUGAGAUUUUCAUCAUGGGUUUCUAGUUUGAUUCCAUUUGAGCUGGAGGCUGCUCUCUGUGACUUCGAUCCUUUUGGGUUUGGUGCAGUUGUUUCAUGGCUCGGGAUGUGGUCUGUCCUGGGGCAGGUGUGUGGGCAGUUGAGUGGAGAGUACUAUGAACGCUGAGCAGAUGCUGUUGGUUGAUGGUGUUCAGUUCUUCUACCUUCUUGUUUAUUUUCUAGUUGUGCUAGAGGAUUAGGAAGUCGAGUGUUUUCAGCUGUACUCAGGAUAAUUGCAUCGUGCUAAGCAGAACGAAUCUCUAGAAACUCUUUGAAGUAUUACCUUGGCUGUUUCUAGAGUAAAUAAGCAUGUGAGUUUGAGGGGACUAGGUGGGGAAGAUGUACCCUCCAGGUGGGCAGGAACCACCCAAUGGCUCAGGACCCCAGAGGGAAGAACACAGAAGGGGAGUUGGUCUCUCUGAGAGCUGGGCCCAUUUUCUUCUACUGCAUAGACAUCAGAACUCCAGGUCACUGGUCUUUGGACUCUAGGACUUACACCUAUGGUCCCUGAGUACUCAGGCUUUUGGCCUCUGAGAGUUGCACCAUAACAUCCGUGGUUCAGGCUUUGGGACUUGACCUGAGGUGUCCCAGGGUCUCCAGCUUCCAGAUAACCCCAGUCGUCAAGCUGGUGCCCACAGUUGCCAACAGGAGUGACAUAUGUUUCUACCCUCUGCUGUUUGGCCUGUUUCCUUAUGAAUAUGAUCCGUUGCUCUCAACUGUUACACCUGUAACUGGCAUUAGUAUACCUGAGUGCUUAGUCUUACAAAAACAUGUUAUUUAUUUUAUUAUGUAAAGUACCAUAUGUGUUCUGUUGUGCUUUUAUGUUUUUUGAAUUUCCUUUAAAAAUGUAAACAAAUGUCUUUUAAAGGAUAAUUUUUUUUCCCCAAAAUUUCUUUUUUUCUUUUAAAGUAUGAUUUUGGUGUUUUGGGAUUUCAGCAUCUAGGACGAUGGCAUUCUGGAUUGUGUCUUUCAGAAUUGUGGCCCAAUCCUCUUUCAAAAUCAUCUUUCUUUGCUGAGACUCUUUUUUUUUUUUUCAUUCUGAUGCUGGGAUUCGAACCCUGUACGUCACACACCCCCAGCGAGGGCUGUUAUUCUGAGAUGCAUCUCUUUGUUGGGAGUUUUUUAUUGGUUUCUACUGUGUUUGCAAUUGUUUGUUAAAGUAUUUUUAUGGUGGCCGUUUUAGAAUCUUUGUCAGACAAUUCCAGUCUCUGUCAUAUUAGUGUUGGCAUCUGCUGUCUCCCUGGCUGAGAGGGUGAAUAGUGACUCAUUAUCCUCCCCGUGUGGCCUCAACUGACACCGCUGGUUGGGAGUGGCCUCCUUGCUGCAGGGUUGUGGUGAGAGUCUUAACUCCACUCUUCUAUGAGGCUCCCUGAGCAGAGAUGGGGAGGCCGUGUUACUGUGAAUUGGGGUGGAGGUCCAGGCUCCCCAGGUCUGCAAUGGCGCCAUUCAGGGGAUGGGGAGCAUCAAACCACUUGUGGGGAUGAAGUCCCAGCUCCCACACCACCUUCUCUGACUGCACCUGAGGGGGGCUGAGCCCUCUUGCAGCCUGGGAGGGGAAAUCCAGGCUGGCGUGGGUGGUGACUAGGCCACAGUGUCGUCUGUGGCGUUGGGCUGGAGUGGGGUGGUUAUUGUCUGAAGGUUCUGUCUUGCUAGACUGUCUUUUCCUGGCCCUUUGACUGUGGAGGGUGGACUUUUGUUGAGGCUGAUUUUGUUGGUGCCCAUUGGUGUUUCCAGCCUGUAAGCUUGUUGAGCUCCAAACCUGGGACAUACGGAGCAAAAAGUCAACUCCUCAUCAUUUUGUGACUUGUCUGCAUCCUUAUCAGCACCUCAGAAUCUUCUUAUAUCUGAAUUUAUUUUAUCCAUAAUGUCCAGGGGUUUUUGUUUUUAGUAGAAGGAAUGGGGGGGGCGUGCCUCUCCUUCCUCUUUCCCUCUGUGCAACUUCUGAUAUCACAUUUCCAUGAGAGACUUGCUCCUCUUAACAAACUCGCAACACAUCCCAAUCUAUUGUAUUAUUAAUUUUGCAAACAUGAUCAGGAUCCAAAGACAAUAAAAGCAUCCCUGAAGGGGCGGUGUUCUGAACACGGCAUCCGAGCGCACUGAGCUUGCAACCGACUUGCUCCUGGCUGGUCACUGGAAUAUAUCUGCCCCGCCCCCACUUUCUUCUUAGAGAUCCACACUGGGGGACGUGCUACUGCCCCGGGCUUCAGUGAGAUUAGCAUCUGAACAUGUUGCUGAACAGAGCUACUAUUUCUACACCAACUGAUUUAUAUCAGGAAACCUACCCUUGACAGUUCUUAAAGGAGCACAGCCAGCCGAUUCAUGCACACCCAACCUGGCAGCCUUGAGUUACUGGAGAGGCAAGUCAUCCUGUAAAAAAGGUUACUGUGAUAGGUGUGGGGUCAUGGAGGUGCUGAAGAUGGUAAAGAAGUGCCCCCACCUAAGGAUUCAGUGUCUGUCCAGAGGGAGAGGAUGCAAGGGCUGGUUGCAGGGCAGUGGGAAAGGAGGAAAGAAAGACCCAGAGGUGCCAGAGGGAGAUGUCUGCUGGCAGUGCAGGAUGAAGGGGACAGACGGGCGCUGGCAAGGUGUUGUGGAGAGGUGAGGAGCACCGGGGCUGCAGUGUGGGAGCCUUGAUGGGGCGGGGGACCAGCAGGUGCAGGAGCUGUGGAGGAGGGUCCCUGACCCAAGGAGGAGGGAGCGCCUGUGGGCUGCGGCAACAGACGUGGCUGGAAGGUCUGCGGAUUUUGCCAACUUUGAGGGCCAUUGUUCUUUGGGCUUUGUUUUGUACCUUUGAAAUAGUUAAUAAACAUGCGAAGGCAGGUGUUUGUCAGUUUUCCUGCUGCUAUGCCUAAAAGACCCAACCAGAACAACGGUAGAGAAGUUUAUUUACUUGAGGGGUCACAGUUUCAGGGGUCUCAGCCCAUUGGCUCCUUUCCCCGGGCUCCAGGGGAGGCAGAACAGUAAGGCAGGAGAGUGUGGCCGAGGGAAGCCACUCACAUGAUGAUCAGGAAGCAGAGAGACUCCACUGGCCAGAUACAAAUGUACACCCCCAAGGCACGUCCCCAAUGCCACCUCCCCAGCCACAUCCCACCCAGUUAAUCCUGUCAGGGAACAAUUCACUGAUUGGAUCAAGAUUCUCAUGGCCCAAUCAUUUUUCCUCUGAACCUCUUGCAGUGUCUCACACAUGAGCUUUUGGGGGACACUUCACAUCCAAACCAUAGCAGCGAGGCUAGGAAGAUGAGCCGGAGGGGAAACCUGUGAUCCACAGAAGGUGGUGAACCUCCAGAGGCACUGCCAAGCCUGAGCAUAGGAGCUGCGAGGGUGGAAGGUGUCUGCCCACCGGGGGAGUGUCCCACCCAAGAAUCCAGGCUCAGUGCAGAGUUACAGUCAGUCUGAUAUUCCUAACUGUGGUACAGUAGCCACAGAGCUGUGACCAGGCACCGUGGUGGCCUCCUGAAGGAUGGGCUUCCUCUUGUGGAAGGGUAGGGCAUGUUGGCUGGACACCCACUGGGCUAGUCAGGUUGUUUGAGGACCUGAGCAUUCAGUUGGUGAUUGGUGGAGAUGGUCUCCUGGGUCCCUUUUAGUCCCAAGAAUCUAUGAUUCAUAUUUACUAAUAGACCAGUGACAAUUGUGUUGGCAUCAGACGCUGCUCUCUCCUGGCCAGCCCUGAGGGACGUGGAAAUGGCAGUUUUUAUUAUUAUUUUCACUGCGUGUCUUUUCCAGCGCAGGGUGCUUCUGUAAGCCCUGCUUGGAAUCUUCAGCCUCUCCAAGACUGCAGUCCUCCCUUCAGCAGUGACCUGGAGACCUGCUGGGGCUCAGCGGGGUACAUGGGCCUUCCCCAGGAACCCAGGAGGGGCCACGUGCCCCCAUGCACCCCACGCACGUCCAGGUGGACCCUGGGCCAUUCUCUCCCACUGCAGACUCACUCAGGGACUUCAGAGCGGAAAGGCGUUCAGGCCUCCAGGGGAGAGGACAGAGGCAGGCGCCUACCAGGCUGAACCCAAGGGCUUCCUGGCUAUUUUCUUAAAUAUGCCUUCUCUCUCCUCUCCCCCAGGGAGAGCCAGGCCGUGCCUUCUGGGUGACUCACUCCAAGAUCUAUCCCCUGGGGUGCUGGCCAAAUGGCUCUCAGCAGCCACCAAAACAAAGCCUCCUUUUCCAACAUUGACCAAUGCCUGCCAUGGCUGAUUUCCAGCCUCCAGUGACUGAAGAACCAGCUCACAGACUGCCAGCCUGUUUCCCCAUCCGCUCUCGUGAGCUGCACGCCCGGGUUAAUUCCGCCUGAGCCAAGCCCUGCUGUCUUUCUCUCGGACAUCUGGUGACCAGACGUGGA
This 5831-nucleotide long non-coding RNA is filed under the name Marmota monax (woodchuck). The record is from RNAcentral. Lineage: Eukaryota; Metazoa; Chordata; Mammalia; Rodentia; Sciuridae.